This 119-nucleotide ribosomal RNA is filed under the name Aegilops tauschii subsp. strangulata. Lineage: Eukaryota; Viridiplantae; Streptophyta; Magnoliopsida; Poales; Poaceae. The record is from RNAcentral.
GGAUGCGAUCAUACCAGCACUAAAGCACCGGAUCCCAUCAGAACUCUGAAGUUAAGCGUGCUUGUGCGAGAGUAGUACUAGGUUGGGUGACCUCCUGGGAAGUCCUCGUGUUGCAUUCC